CAGGCGGCAUCCCACUCCAGUCCCUCCACGUCCACCAGCAGGCGCAUCAGCUCCGCCACCGCGAUGGUGGGGUGCGUGUCGUUCAGCUGGAAGCACGCCUUCUCCGGCAGCGCCUCCCAGUUGGCGCCGUGCACAGCGCGGAAGCGCGACAUCACGUCCUGCAGGUGGGAGGAGGCGGAGGAGGAAAUGUUCAGGCGGGCGGAAGUGAGGGAGAGAGAGGAGAGGGAGGGGAGGAGGAAGAGCAGGAUGGAUACGGCCAUGAGCGUUGCUGUGGUGCACACUGCUGCUGUGACCGUCGACAACGCCGCGCCCGUCCAUCACUACUCUUGCCUGGAAGCUCCAUCCCCCCCCCCGUCCACAAAGCUCCCGAGCUGGCAUGUCGGGCAUUUUGUGCCCCCGCCCCGGCACUGCAGUCCAGCUCCACCCCAAUCCCCCGCUCAGCCGCUGGUUGUCGUUUCCCUUCGCUGCCUUCACCGUCGCCGCCGCGCAGGUCAAGGACAAUGAUGACGAUCCCAAGUACCGUAUCCAGAACUGCGCCCUGGCGUCGCAUGAGCGACUGGCCGCACCCCCUGCCGCGCCCGCACACCACCCAUUCUUUCCCACCCAUGCCCUCCCAGCCACCCACCUGCAGCGAGGCGCACACGAAGAAGUACUGCUGCUUGAGGCGCAGCUCCUUGCCCUCGGGGGUGGAGUCGUUGGGGUACAGCACGGCGCUGAUGCCCUCGGCGCGCUCGCGCUCCAGCAUGGCCUGAAGGAGUACAGAGGGCGGGGCGUGGGGUAGCGGGCACGAGGGUGUUGGGUUUUGAGGUCAGGAAUACCUCACGUCGUGAGCAGACGCGCCGUGCGGUGUGCAAGCCCAGCCUGUUGGUUGCGCCCCGCCGGCCUUUGGUUAGCCAGGCACAGCCUGACACACACCUCAACCCUCCCUGCAGCCCUCAUUUCAGUCUCUCCGUCUCGCCCAGCGAACCUGCGGAACCCUGUCCCGCCCUUCAAUCAACCCGUGUUGGUUGGCGGCCCCGAAAAAUCAGCCAUGCCCUGCCUCCCUGUUCCUCCUUCCUGCCUCCUAGCCAGGCGCACCAACCCCCGCCUUCCACCCGAGGUCAGUCAACGACGCGCCCUUGGGACCACUUCUUUGCGUGCAAGCACGGAACCCCCUGCACAUAACCCCGCCUCCCUCCCUCCCUGCGUUCCGACUUGCUGCCUUCGUCUCCGCCUUUUCCCUGACUCACCCGGUCGUAGUCGCCGGCGUUGAAGGCGCUGAGGUCGAACUCGUGCACCGGCACCGCGUCCCACAGGCGCAGGUUGGAGGUGGUGGGAGUGGCGUAGCCGGGGAUCGGGUUGUCGUAC
This 1347-nucleotide long non-coding RNA is filed under the name Chlamydomonas reinhardtii. RNAcentral describes it as "long non-coding RNA (CREI_LNC000624)". The record is from RNAcentral. Lineage: Eukaryota; Viridiplantae; Chlorophyta; Chlorophyceae; Chlamydomonadales; Chlamydomonadaceae.